GGAAGGAUCAUUAUUGAAUGAACUUGGUGUGGUUGUUGCUGGCCCUCUCGGGGGCAUGUGCACACCCACCAUCCUCAUCUCUCCACCUGUGCACCUCUUGUAGACCUGGAUAGACUUUCCGAGGCAACUCGGUCGGAAAGAUUGCUGCGCUCUGUGAGCCAGCUUUCUUUGCAUGUCCAGGCCUAUGUUUUUUCAUAUACCCCUAUAGAAUGUAACAGAAUGUAUCAUUGGGCCUUGUGCCUAUAAACCUUAUACAACUUUCAGCAACGGAUCUCUUGGCUCUCGCAUCGAUGAAGAACGCAGCGAAAUGCGAUAAGUAAUGUGAAUUGCAGAAUUCAGUGAAUCAUCGAAUCUUUGAACGCACCUUGCGCUCCUUGGUAUUCCGAGGAGCAUGCCUGUUUGAGUGUCAUUAAAUUCUCAACCUUAUUAGCUUUUGUUGAUAAUGGAUUGGAUGUGGGGGUUUCUUUUGCUGGCUUCUUCACAGAUAUCAGCUCCCCUUAAAUGCAUUAGCUGGUGCCCCGCGUGGACCAUCUAUUGGUGUGAUAAUUAUCUACGCCGUGGAUGUCUGCAAUCAUAUGGGUUUUGCACUGCUUCUAACCGUCUGUUCAUUCGGACAACACAUGACAAUUUGACCUCAAAUCAGGUAGGACUACCCGCUGAACUUAAGCAUAUCAAUAAGCGGAGGAAAAGAAACUAACAAGGAUUCCCCUAGUAACUGCGAGUGAAGCGGGAAAAGCUCAAAUUUAAAAUCUGGCGGUCUCCGGCCGUCCGAGUUGUAAUCUAGAGAAGUGUUAUCCGCGCUGGACCGUGUACAAGUCUCCUGGAAUGGAGCGUCAUAGAGGGUGAGAAUCCCGUCUUUGACACGGACUGCCAGGGCUUUGUGAUGCGCUCUCAAAGAGUCGAGUUGUUUGGGAAUGCAGCUCAAAAUGGGUGGUAAA
RNAcentral lists this small RNA (938 nucleotides) under uncultured fungus. RNAcentral describes it as "eukaryotic LSU rRNA". The stretch from base 630 to 938 matches the Rfam family "Eukaryotic large subunit ribosomal RNA", at positions 1 to 303 of the family's 3401-position model. The record is from RNAcentral. Lineage: Eukaryota; Fungi.